UACGAAGGGGGCUAGCGUUGUUCGGAAUCACUGGGCGUAAAGGGCGCGUAGGCGGCCCGGCAAGUCAGUGGUGAAAGCCCGAGGCUCAACUUCGGGUCGGCCACUGAUACUGCUAGGCUUGAGUCGACUAGAGGCAGAUGGAAUUCCGGGUGUAGCGGUGGAAUGCGUAGAGAUCCGGAAGAACACCGGUGGCGAAGGCGGUCUGCUGGGGUCGAACUGACGCUGAGGCGCGACAGCGUGGGGAGCAAACAGG
Molecule: ribosomal RNA, 253 nt
Filed under: uncultured bacterium
Lineage: Bacteria
Description: partial 16S ribosomal RNA
Rfam family: Bacterial small subunit ribosomal RNA
Source: RNAcentral